This 566-nucleotide long non-coding RNA is filed under the name Panax ginseng (ginseng). RNAcentral describes it as "long non-coding RNA (PGIN_LNC017795)". Lineage: Eukaryota; Viridiplantae; Streptophyta; Magnoliopsida; Apiales; Araliaceae. The record is from RNAcentral.
AAAUAUCUUGGUGAUCUGCUUUAACCACGUCUCUGCCUUAAGUGGUUCUGGUUUACCCAAAAACUCCAGUGGUCCCAGCUCCUUGAACUGCUUAGCGGUGACCAAUCGUGGGUUGCCAUUAUUUCCACCUAUAUUUUGAACAGGAGUCUCUCUUACCUGAUGUUGCAUGAAUUGCAUAAAGCUUCUGAACAUCCCAUCGUUCGUCAUUAGAUCGAUAUUGUUGUUUAUCUGAGGAUUAUGGUCUUCUUGAUGCACAUUAUCCUGGGUAUUGAUCGUUGGUGACUCAACGGUCUCGUGUGCUCCAUUGCGUAUCUCCACAUUCUCGAAUGUCAUUUUCAAAUACUGCCACAAAACAAGGGUUAAUUGACAUGCCACAUAUUAUCCCUAUACUCUGACCGACCAAUUAAAUAACAAAUAAGCUUAGGUAGGUCAUACUAGCGAAGGAAUUACCCGUCUCUCCCCUCCUAGUUCUAGUCUCACAUCUUAGCCAGGGAUCAUAUCCCUAAGCUUUGAUACCAACUGUGACGCCCCCAAAAUAGGUAUACAUCACCUAUUCUGAGUCGCCA